CUCAUAUUCAGUUAUCUGCAUAUGAUAUCAAACCAAAUACUAAACAUAAAAAUUAAUAAUAAGAUAAUGGCUUUAUAAGCCUAAACAGACCGGAAAAAAAGAACAAAAUUGGCUUGAAAUUCUGAGGUGUUGUAAUAUUGAUUAAAUUGACUUACAGGGAAAUUAGUAGUAGUGGUAGUUCCCCAAUACUUGAGUGCGGCUAAAUCAUACGCCCUAGCUGCUUUUUCUUCUUUGUCAUAACCUCCUGCAUGCAUGAUCAGAUUAAAAAUGAAUUAGACUACAGAUUUACUUGGAUUAUAAGUACAUUAUUAUUUAUUCAUAGCUUUGUUCAACUUAUACUUACCCAAAUAAACUGAGUAGAGAACCAUCAGGUUAGAACACCCAUGAAAAAAAAACCUAGAUUAGUUGGAAAGUAAAUGGUGAAUGAAAAAUGACAAAUCAUAAAU
Brassica rapa (field mustard) is the source of this 446-nucleotide long non-coding RNA. RefSeq lists it as uncharacterized. The record is from RefSeq and is a predicted model, not a curated record. NCBI's taxonomy places the organism in Eukaryota, Viridiplantae, Streptophyta, Magnoliopsida, Brassicales, Brassicaceae.